RNAcentral lists this ribosomal RNA (465 nucleotides) under uncultured bacterium. RNAcentral's name for it is "partial 16S ribosomal RNA". It matches the Rfam family "Bacterial small subunit ribosomal RNA", at positions 338 to 795 of the family's 1533-position model. The record is from RNAcentral.
CCUACGGGAGGCAGCAGUGGGGAAUAUUGCGCAAUGGGCGAAAGCCUGACGCAGCGACGCCGCGUGAGGGAUGAAGGUCUUCGGAUCGUAAACCUCUGUCAGCAGGGAAGAACGGUCACUGUGCUAAUCAGCAGUGAAUUGACGGUACCUGCACAGGAAGCACAGGCUAACUCCGUGCCAGCAGCCGCGGUAAUACGUAGGGGGCAAGCGUUAUCCUGAAUUACUGGGUGUAAAGGGAGCGUAGACGGUAAUGCAAGUCUGGAGUGAAAGGCGGUGGCCCAACCCCCGGACUGCUUUGGAAACGGUGUAACUGGAGUGCAGGAGAGGCAGGCGGAAUUCCUAGUGUAGCGGUGAAAUGCGUAGAUAUUAGGAGGAACACCAGUGGCGAAGGCGGCCUGCUGGACUGUAACUGACGUUGAGGCUCGAAAGCGUGGGGAGCAAACAGGAUUAGAUACCCUGGUAGUC